UACGGGGGGGGCAAGCGUUGUUCGGAAUUACUGGGCGUAAAGGGCUCGUAGGCGGCCAACUAAGUCAGACGUGAAAUCCCCAGGCUCAACCUGGGAACUGCGUCUGAUACUGGUUGGCUUGAAUCCGGGAGAGGGAUGCAGAAUUCCAGGUGUAGCGGUGAAAUGCGUAGAUAUCUGGAGGAAUACCAGUGGCGAAGGCGGGUCUCUGGACAGUUCCUGACGCUGAGGCACGAAGGCCAGGGGAGCAAACGGG
RNAcentral lists this ribosomal RNA (253 nucleotides) under uncultured bacterium. Its description in RNAcentral is "partial 16S ribosomal RNA". It matches the Rfam family "Bacterial small subunit ribosomal RNA", at positions 524 to 776 of the family's 1533-position model. The record is from RNAcentral.